This 898-nucleotide unclassified non-coding RNA is filed under the name Haliotis rufescens (red abalone). Its description in RNAcentral is "uncharacterized LOC125377840, transcript variant X6". The record is from RNAcentral. Lineage: Eukaryota; Metazoa; Mollusca; Gastropoda; Lepetellida; Haliotidae.
CUUAAUAGAAGAUCGUUACGGUUUUCAUUCAUACAUGCCAUUGUAUGUGUAUUUGUUUGAUAGAACUACACAUAUUUAUAAGAACUGAUCGUUACAAAAUGUAUUGGCAAACAAGGUUAAAAUUUGUCUUUGGAAAAAUCGUCCCGACGUGGUCAGAAAGAGUUAUCCCCCUUGGCCGGCAUAGCGAUCGGUUUUCGAUCAAACAUUUAUCGAUACUGAGAUGGAGAACGUCAACGUGCCUGCUGACCCUGCACAUGACGCAUGUUUGUAUUCUAUGGUAUCCAAGUGGGCUGUGUCCUGCCACAUUCAGGAAAUUUGAGGUGCAACCCUUGUAGGAAAUCAGGUUUCACUGUCCAGUUACAAGAAGCCUGGUGCAAAUAACUUGUUUGGUCCAGUUGCACCCAACAAAGGGCAACUACCAUGCUGUAAUGAAACUUGAUGGUAUCAGUUUACACCAACGCUAAACUACAUAUACAGCUCCCAAUACAGUGUGCUUUGAGAAGGGAGAGCAACUAUGCCCUGUACGUUUCUGGAAAGAAGAAGUGUUGAGAAGAAGAGUUCUGUGUUGAAGUCAGCAUUGGCAUCCUGAGUAGUGAAAAGAUCAGCAGGGAGUAGCAUCAGUUCGCUACUGUGUGGAGGGACAGUGUUUCUCCCUAUACUCAUGGACAGUACUGUACAUCUAAACAUAUGAUUCAUAUUAUAAAUUGUUUCAUAAUGUGAGGUGGGUUUUUUUCAUUCAUAAUAUCAAUUAUCAUAUAUGGUGAAUUUAGCAUCUUACAAAUAUACUGUGCAUGGAAUUUCUUCACUUACACUGUUUUCAGCAUUUUGAGGCAAAACUCUUUUCAUGUGUUACAUUUAUGUUUAUUGUUUCCUCAACAAUAAAGAACUAGCAAAAUGA